RNAcentral lists this ribosomal RNA (510 nucleotides) under uncultured bacterium. RNAcentral's name for it is "partial 16S ribosomal RNA". It matches the Rfam family "Bacterial small subunit ribosomal RNA", at positions 28 to 507 of the family's 1533-position model. The record is from RNAcentral.
GACGAACGCUGGCGGCGUGCUUAACACAUGCAAGUCGAACGAAGAGCGAUGGAAGCUUGCUUCUAUCAAUCUUAGUGGCGAACGGGUGAGUAACGCGUAAUCAACCUGCCCUUCAGAGGGGGACAACAGUUGGAAACGACUGCUAAUACCGCAUACGAUCUAAUCUCGGCAUCGAGGAUAGAUGAAAGGUGGCCUCUACAUGUAAGCUAUCACUGAAGGAGGGGAUUGCGUCUGAUUAGCUAGUUGGCGGGGUAACGGCCCACCAAGGCGAUGAUCAGUAGCCGGUCGGAGAGGAUGAACGGCCAAAUUGGGACGGAGACACGGCCCAGACGCCUACGGGAGGCAGCAGUGGGGAAUCUUCCGCAAUGGAAGAAAGUCUGACGGAGCAACGCCGCGUGAGUGAUGACGGCCUUCGGGUUGGAAAGCUCUGUUAAUCGGGACGAAAGGCCUUCUUGCGAAUAGGGAGAAGGAUUGACGGUACCGGAAUAGAAAGCCACGGCUAACUACGUG